CUUUAUUCAAUGUUGACCAGGCUAGCCCAAUCUGCAAGUCUGCAUGCAGGGAAUCUGCAUAAGGCUCUUGAGGGGUUAGGAGAAAGUCAGGAAGCAAGGUCAGAGGAUCUCAACUCGUAUAGGCCAGAUCUUGCCGAUCAAUAUGAUAGCAAGAAUGAGAUCUUCUCCCAAUCAGACAGAGAAAGCAGCAUGGAUAUUCUUGAUGUGAAUGGACUGUCUUUGCAAGAUAAAGGAUGGAUGUCUGCUCCUGAUAGCAUGACCAGUGGCAGUUCAGAAUCUGCAGCUACCCUG
This 291-nucleotide unclassified non-coding RNA is filed under the name Hevea brasiliensis (rubber tree). Lineage: Eukaryota; Viridiplantae; Streptophyta; Magnoliopsida; Malpighiales; Euphorbiaceae. The record is from RNAcentral.